AACGAACGCUGGCGGCAGGCCUAACACAUGCAAGUCGAGCGGGACCUUCGGGUCUAGCGGCGGACGGGUUAGUAACGCGUGGGAACGUGCCCAAAGGUACGGAAUAGCCUCGGGAAACUGAGAGUAAUACCGUAUGUGCCCCUCGGGGGAAAGAUUUAUCGCCUUUGGAUCGGCCCGCGUUGGAUUAGGUAGUUGGUGGGGUAAUGGCCUACCAAGCCGACGAUCCAUAGCUGGUUUGAGAGGAUGAUCAGCAACACUGGGACUGAGACACGGCCCAGACUCCUACGGGAGGCAGCAGUGGGGAAUCUUAGACAAUGGGGGAAACCCGUGAUCUAGCCAUGCCGCGUGAGCGAUGAAGGCCUUAGGGUUGUAAAGCUCUUUCAGAUGGGAAGAUAAUGACGGUACCAUCAGAAGAAGCCCCGGCUAACUCCGUG
Molecule: ribosomal RNA, 434 nt
Filed under: uncultured bacterium
Lineage: Bacteria
Description: bacterial SSU rRNA
Rfam family: Bacterial small subunit ribosomal RNA
Source: RNAcentral